AUGGGAUUCAUCAAGGUGACAAGCCUAUUAUGCCUACUACUUCUCACACCACUUCUUUUAGUUCCUGGCUCGGAAGCUAAGACCUGCACUUCAUAUAGUAGGACCUAUAUGUCUUUAUUAUGCAAGAAGGAUUCAUGUGUUGAGGCCUGCCAUAAGGAGGGAUUUACGAACGGGUUCUGUUUCGUAUUCCCAGAACCCAUUAUGUUAAUUUGUUUCUGCGAAAAGAUUGUUGAAUAA
Molecule: ribosomal RNA, 237 nt
Filed under: Triticum aestivum (bread wheat)
Lineage: Eukaryota; Viridiplantae; Streptophyta; Magnoliopsida; Poales; Poaceae
Description: partial small subunit ribosomal RNA
Source: RNAcentral